CGACGAAGUAGGUGAGGAAGGUGGGGAUGACGUCAAAUCAGCACGGCCCUUACGUCCAGGGCUACACACGUGUUACAAUGGCCAGUACAGAGGGCAGCCACCCGCGAGGGGGCGCUAAUCCUAAAAGCUGGUCCCAGUUCGGAUCGGAGUCUGCAACCCGACUCCGUGAAGCUGGAUUCGCUAGUAAUCGCGCAUCAGCCACGGCGCGGUGAAUACGUUCCCGGGCCUU
This 229-nucleotide ribosomal RNA is filed under the name uncultured Rikenellaceae bacterium. Its description in RNAcentral is "partial 16S ribosomal RNA". It matches the Rfam family "Bacterial small subunit ribosomal RNA", at positions 1153 to 1382 of the family's 1533-position model. The record is from RNAcentral. Lineage: Bacteria; Pseudomonadati; Bacteroidota; Bacteroidia; Bacteroidales; Rikenellaceae.